UCCGAUUUGUCACCGGCAGUCUCCUAUGAGUCCCCGUCUUUCACGCUGGCAACAUAGGACAGGGGUUGCGCUCGUUGCGGGACUUAACCAAACAUCUCACGACACGAGCUGACGACGGCCAUGCAGCACCUGUCACUCGGCUUCCGAAGACACUCUCUGCUUUCGCAGAAAUUCCGAGGAUGUCAAACCCUGGUAAGGUUCUUCGCUUACCUUCGAAUUAAAGAACACGCUCCACCGCUUGUGCGGGUCCCCGUCAAUUCCUUUAUGUUUUAGUCUUGCGACCGUACUCCACAGGCGGGAUGCUUAACGCGUUAGCUUCGCUACUACAAGGGUCGAUACUCGUAACAGCUAGCAUCCAUAGUUUACGGCGUGGACUAC
Molecule: unclassified non-coding RNA, 378 nt
Filed under: uncultured bacterium
Lineage: Bacteria
Description: contains 16S-23S intergenic spacer region
Source: RNAcentral